This 394-nucleotide transfer-messenger RNA is filed under the name Puniceicoccales bacterium. It matches the Rfam family "transfer-messenger RNA". Rfam says of the family: Bacterial tmRNA, also known as 10Sa RNA or SsrA, is named for its dual tRNA and mRNA-like properties. Its role is to liberate the mRNA from a stalled ribosome. Lineage: Bacteria; Pseudomonadati; Verrucomicrobiota; Opitutia; Puniceicoccales. The record is from RNAcentral.
GGGGGCGUAUGGAUUCGAUUCCGCGAGGCAGGACAGGGCCGCAUGCCGGAGAUGGGUGGUUUGCUCCGUUAAAAAUCUGCCCAAAUGUCAGUAAAUGGCAAAAACAAAAUCAUUCGCGGUGUCGCAUUCGGUCGCAAGGCCGUUCGCGUCGCUGCCUAAGAUGCCAUUCUUUGCAAUGGCGCGGAAGGAAGUCGUUAUCUGUCCGAUUUCCUCUCCGUCGGUUGACAGGUUAGGUUACGCGCUCGUGCGGAUGUGUAACUGAAAUAAUUCGCACUCGCAGGAUGGACUUGCGCCGCAACAAGGUCUUACUGUUAAAUCAAAAGCGCGGCUAAGCAUGUAGACGCAUUGUUCGAGAGCGAGGAAGACGUGGGUUCAACUCCCACCGCCUCCACCA